GGGCGCAUGGUGGCUUAGUGGUUAGCAUGUUCGUCUCAUGCCUCCAGGGUCGGGGGUUCAAUUCUCACCGUGGCCC
Non-coding RNA from Ameiurus melas (black bullhead), 76 nucleotides. The record is from the annotation of a GenBank genome assembly. NCBI's taxonomy places the organism in Eukaryota, Metazoa, Chordata, Actinopteri, Siluriformes, Ictaluridae.